This 442-nucleotide ribosomal RNA is filed under the name uncultured bacterium. Its description in RNAcentral is "bacterial SSU rRNA". It matches the Rfam family "Bacterial small subunit ribosomal RNA", at positions 26 to 507 of the family's 1533-position model. The record is from RNAcentral.
AAGAACGAACGCUGGCGGCAUGCCUAACACAUGCAAGUCAACGGGAUCCUAGCUUGCUAGGUGAGAGUGGCGACGGGUGAGUAACACGUGGGAACCUGCCCUUGGGUUCGGAAUAACAGCGAGAAAUUGCUGCUAAUACCGGAUGAUGACGUAAGUCCAAAGAUUUAUCGCCCAAGGAUGAGCCCGCGUAGGAUUAGCUAGUUGGUGAGGUAAAGGCUCACCAAGGCGACGAUCCUUAGCUGGUCUGAGAGGAUGAUCAGCCACACUGGGACUGAGACACGGCCCAGACUCCUACGGGAGGCAGCAGUGGGGAAUAUUGGACAAUGGGCGAAAGCCUGAUCCAGCAAUGCCGCGUGAGUGAUGAAGGCCUUAGGGUUGUAAAGCUCUUUUACCCGGGAUGAUAAUGACAGUACCGGGAGAAUAAGCCCCGGCUAACUCCGUG